AGUGAACGCUGGCGGUAGGCCUAACACAUGCAAGUCGAACGGCAGCACAGUAAGAGCUUGCUCUUACGGGUGGCGAGUGGCGGACGGGUGAGGAAUACAUCGGAAUCUACUUUUUCGUGGGGGAUAACGUAGGGAAACUUACGCUAAUACCGCAUACGACCUACGGGUGAAAGCAGGGGAUCUUCGGACCUUGCGCGAUUGAAUGAGCCGAUGUCGGAUUAGCUAGUUGGCGGGGUAAAGGCCCACCAAGGCGACGAUCCGUAGCUGGUCUGAGAGGAUGAUCAGCCACACUGGAACUGAGACACGGUCCAGACUCCUACGGGAGGCAUCAGUGGGGAAUAUUGGACAAUGGGCGCAAGCCUGAUCCAGCCAUACCGCGUGGGUGAAGAAGGCCUUCGGGUUGUAAAGCCCUUUUGUUGGGAAAGAAAAGCAGCAGGUUAAUACCCCGCUGUUCUGACGGUACCCAAAGAAUAAGCACCGGCUAACUUCGU
RNAcentral lists this ribosomal RNA (491 nucleotides) under uncultured bacterium. Its description in RNAcentral is "partial 16S ribosomal RNA". It matches the Rfam family "Bacterial small subunit ribosomal RNA", at positions 29 to 506 of the family's 1533-position model. The record is from RNAcentral.